UACGGAGGGUGCAAACGUUGCUCGGAAUCAUUGGGCGUAAAGCGCACGUAGGCGGCACAGUGUGUCGGAUGUGAAAGCCCUCGGCUCAACCGAGGAAGUGCAUUCGAAACUGCUGAGCUAGAGUACGGGAGAGGGUCUCGGAAUUCCCGGUGUAGAGGUGAAAUUCGUAGAUAUCGGGAGGAACACCAGUGGCGAAGGCGGAGACCUGGACCGAUACUGACGUUGAGGUGCGAAAGCGUGGGGAGCAAACAGG
Molecule: ribosomal RNA, 253 nt
Filed under: uncultured bacterium
Lineage: Bacteria
Description: partial 16S ribosomal RNA
Rfam family: Bacterial small subunit ribosomal RNA
Source: RNAcentral